AUGGGACGGCCCGCUGGGCUGUUCCCGCCCCUAUGCCCUUUUUUGGGUUUCCGGCCAGAGGCAUGCUGGGAGCGUCACAUGCAAAUUGAGCGUGCACCCAGCGUUCCGCCCUUUCUACGCUGGGCCGGUUAUCGACCCGGCCCAGUGCGCAGGCGCGGGAAAGUUGAACUAAUAAAGUUUGUACGAGUUCAGUGGAGGAGACCGCAAGUUGAGUGGAGGAGGCGGCGGUGGGGCCCCGGACCAGGUCAGCGGGGUGUUGACGAGGGGUGGGGUGAGGAGGGAAGAGGAGGGGGCCGGGAUCCAGUGGUGGGCACCCCAGUCCCGCUUCUCUGAUAUCCAAGGGUCCAGGGUCCUCUAGAUUCCAGCAGGGGUCGGAGAUUUGGAACUACACCUCACAGCAGGCUGCGCGGCGAAGAAGCGCGGACCUAGGGGAAGAUUUGCCCUGAAACCUCUUGGGAUUGGUAGUUCCCGAUGCUUUAAGGGUUUCAGGAGUUUGGCAUAUGCCUCUUAUAGAAUCCAGGAGUUGGGGCGCUAAGCCUCUUCUUCCUGGGAGACCUAAGGGUCUGGGGCUCCAGUUCCUUUUUCUCUAAGACUCAGAAGUCCAGGACCCCAGCUCCCUCCUCCUUUAGACCCACGAAUCUGGGCACCCAGCCCCACCACCUUUCCUUGGAUCGAAGAGUCUUUUUCCUGAUCGCUUUUUCGUCUGAGGACUCAAGAGUCUAGGCCCCCAGACCCACACUCUCCAAAGGACCCAGGAGUCCAGGCCCUCAGCACCUUCCUUGGGACUCACAAGUCCUGGUCCCCAAGCCUCCACUUCUUGCUAAACCCUUGGAGUCCAGUCCCUAACCCUCUCUCUCACAGGUGCCUCCAUGGCAGGCUCUGAAGAGCUGGGGCUCCGGGAAGACACGCUGAGGGUCCUAGCUGCCUUCCUUAGGCGUGGUGAGGCUGCCGGGUCUCCUGUUCCAACUCCACCUAGAAGCCCUGCCCAAGAAGAGCCAACAGACUUCCUGAGCCGCCUUCGAAGAUGUCUUCCCUGCUCCCUGGGGCGAGGAGCAGCCCCCUCUGAGUCCCCUCGGCCUUGCUCUCUGCCCAUCCGCCCCUGCUAUGGUUUAGAGCCUGGCCCAGCUACUCCAGACUUCUAUGCUUUGGUGGCCCAGCGGCUGGAACAGCUGGUCCAAGAGCAGCUGAAAUCUCCGCCCAGCCCAGAAUUACAGGGUCCCCCAUCGACAGAGAAGGAAGCCAUACUGCGGAGGCUGGUGGCCCUGCUGGAGGAGGAGGCAGAAGUCAUUAACCAGAAGGUGAUGGGCAUCUGUCCCACUCCUUGGCAAGGACAGGAGUUGCGGAAUGCUGGCCUCGGACCCCGCCCUGCGCAGCAAGCUGGUCCGCCUGUCCUCCGACUCUUUCGCCCGCCUGGUGGAGCUGUUCUGUAGCCGGGAUGACAGCUCUCGCCCAAGCCGAGCAUGCCCCGGGCCCCCGCCUCCUUCCCCGGAGCCCCUGGCCCGCCUGGCCCUAGCCAUGGAGCUGAGCCGGCGCGUGGCCGGGCUGGGGGGCACCCUGGCCGGACUCAGCGUGGAGCACGUGCACAGCUUCACGCCCUGGAUCCAGGCCCACGGGGGCUGGGAGGGCAUCCUGGCUGUUUCACCCGUGGACUUGAACUUGCCAUUGGACUGAGCUCUUUCUCAGAAGCUGCUACAAGAUGACACCUCAUGUCCCUGCCCUCUUCGUGUGCUUUUCCAAGUCUUCCUAUUCCACUCAGGGCUGUGGGGUGGUGGUUGCCCUACCUGUUUUUGCCAAAAAUAAAUUGUUUAAAACUUUUCUUAUUAAAAACGUUACAAAGUA
This 1839-nucleotide unclassified non-coding RNA is filed under the name Homo sapiens (human). Its description in RNAcentral is "BCL2-like 12 (proline rich), transcript variant 27". Lineage: Eukaryota; Metazoa; Chordata; Mammalia; Primates; Hominidae. The record is from RNAcentral.